GAUGAACGCUGGCGGCGUGCCUAAUACAUGCGAGUCGAGCGAACAGACGAGGAGCUUGCUCCUCUGACGUUAGCGGCGGACGGGUGAGUAACACGUGGAUAACCUACCUAUAAGACUGGGAUAACUUCGGGAAACCGGAGCUAAUACCGGAUAAUAUAUUGAACCGCAUGGUUCAAUAGUGAAAGACGGUUUUGCUGUCACUUAUAGAUGGAUCCGCGCCGCAUUAGCUAGUUGGUAAGGUAACGGCUUACCAAGGCAACGAUGCGUAGCCGACCUGAGAGGGUGAUCGGCCACACUGGAACUGAGACACGGUCCAGACUCCUACGGGAGGCAGCAGUAGGGAAUCUUCCGCAAUGGGCGAAGGCUUGACGGAGCAACGCCGCGUGAGUGAUGAAGGUCUUCGGAUCGUAAAACUCUGUUAUUAGGGAAGAACAAAUGUGUAAGUAACUAUGCACGUCUUGACGGUACCUAAUCAGAAAGCCACGGCUAACUACGUG
RNAcentral lists this ribosomal RNA (497 nucleotides) under uncultured bacterium. Its description in RNAcentral is "partial 16S ribosomal RNA". It matches the Rfam family "Bacterial small subunit ribosomal RNA", at positions 28 to 507 of the family's 1533-position model. The record is from RNAcentral.